GGCGGCAGGCUUAACACAUGCAAGUCGAGCGGAUGAAAGUAGCUUGCUACUGGAUUCAGCGGCGGACGGGUGAGUAAUGCUUAGGAAUCUGCCUAUUAGUGGGGGACAACGUUCCGAAAGGAGCGCUAAUACCGCAUACGUCCUACGGGAGAAAGCAGGGGACCUUCGGGCCUUGCGCUAAUAGAUGAGCCUAAGUCGGAUUAGCUAGUUGGUAGGGUAAAGGCCUACCAAGGCGACGAUCUGUAGCGGGUCUGAGAGGAUGAUCCGCCACACUGGGACUGAGACACGGCCCAGACUCCUACGGGAGGCAGCAGUGGGGAAUAUUGGACAAUGGGGGGAACCCUGAUCCAGCCAUGCCGCGUGUGUGAAGAAGGCCUUUUGGUUGUAAAGCACUUUAAGCGAGGAGGAGGCUACCUAGAUUAAUACUUUAGGAUAGAGGACGUACUCGCAGAAUAAGCACCGGCUAA
This 467-nucleotide ribosomal RNA is filed under the name Acinetobacter radioresistens. Its description in RNAcentral is "bacterial SSU rRNA". It matches the Rfam family "Bacterial small subunit ribosomal RNA", at positions 38 to 500 of the family's 1533-position model. Lineage: Bacteria; Pseudomonadati; Pseudomonadota; Gammaproteobacteria; Moraxellales; Moraxellaceae. The record is from RNAcentral.